RNAcentral lists this ribosomal RNA (460 nucleotides) under uncultured bacterium. Its description in RNAcentral is "partial 16S ribosomal RNA". It matches the Rfam family "Bacterial small subunit ribosomal RNA", at positions 338 to 795 of the family's 1533-position model. The record is from RNAcentral.
CCUACGGGUGGCUGCAGUGAGGAAUAUUGGUCAAUGGACGGAAGUCUGAACCAGCCAUGCCGCGUGCAGGAAGACGGCUCUAUGAGUUGUAAACUGCUUGUGUACAAGGGUAAACCUGAAUACGUGUAUUCAGCUGAAAGUACUGUACGAAUAAGGAUCGGCUAACUCCGUGCCAGCAGCCGCGGUAAUACGGAGGAUCCAAGCGUUAUCCGGAGUUAUUGGGUUUAAAGGGUGCGUAGGCGGAUUGAUAAGUUAGAGGUGAAAUGUCCGAGCUUAACUCGGGAACUGCCUCUGAUACUGUUUAUCUAGAGUGUAGAUGCGGUAGGCGGAAUGUAUUUUGUAGCGGUUACAUGCUUAGCGAUCAUCCAGAACACCGAUUGCGAAGGCAGCUUACCAAUCUAUAUCUGACGUUGAGGCACGAAAGCGUGGGGAGCAAACAGGAUUAGAUACCCUAGUAGUC